This 154-nucleotide ribosomal RNA is filed under the name Suillus bovinus. RNAcentral's name for it is "partial 28S ribosomal RNA". It matches the Rfam family "Eukaryotic large subunit ribosomal RNA", at positions 1 to 149 of the family's 3401-position model. Lineage: Eukaryota; Fungi; Basidiomycota; Agaricomycetes; Boletales; Suillaceae. The record is from RNAcentral.
UUGACCUCAAAUCAGGUAGGACUACCCGCUGAACUUAAGCAUAUCAAUAAGCGGAGGAAAAGAAACUAACAAGGAUUCCCCUAGUAACUGCGAGUGAACCGGGAAAAGCUCAAAUUUUGAAUCUGGCGGUCCUUGCGGCCGUCCGAGUUGUAAU